This 256-nucleotide long non-coding RNA is filed under the name Homo sapiens (human). RNAcentral describes it as "non-protein coding lnc-FOXD4L5-8:1". Lineage: Eukaryota; Metazoa; Chordata; Mammalia; Primates; Hominidae. The record is from RNAcentral.
UUAAUCUAUUCUUUACCGAGUGUCAUGUACUGCCUAGGUAUCAGUGAUAUAACUAUUAUCCUGCUAUCAAAUCUACUGAUAAGUGGCUCAUUUAACUUAUAGGCACUCAUCACAAUGCAAGAAAUCCUCUGACUGCUCCUACCAUCAUGGCCCCUAGCCAUGAUAUGACUUGUCUCCACACUAGCAGAAACUAAUCGAGUCCCUAUAUUAGGGAUAAGUGGCAUUUAUAUAUAUAUAUAUAAUUUUUAUAUAUAAU